AUCACGAGUCAGUUGUACCAUCCCACAGCAGGAGAAAGGAUAAUGGCACCUGUCCUGGCUAUACGGAGGCCUGACGUCGUUUCUUGACUGGUUUGCCUCCUUCUCUGACUGCAACCUCCUUGAGGGAAGAAACUGACGCUGUUGGUGGUGGAGUAGAAAAACAAAAAGAAUGGAGGUCCUUGAUGGCACUGCCAACCAACCCUGAAGUCUGUCUAACCUCUGAACUACCAGGGCUUCAAGGACCUGGGCACAUGAACAAAACCAUUGGAGGAUGGAGCCUGCCUACUCAGCCAAGUUCUAGCCUUGUGAAGGCAGCCAUGAGUCACCAGCUAAGAAUCCUCAAAUUACCUGUACUGAUGGGCCAGGAAUGUGCACAGUACCCCCCAGGGCUCCUGGGUGCAGAGGCUUCUGGGAAGCAGGUAGCUGAGAACAAUGCAUCAACAGGAGCACCUUGCAGAGCUCCGGUGGGGGCUGCUGUGCCUCACAUGCACACACAGAACACACUCGCCCGUGGUCACUUACAUCCGUUUCAUCCUUCUUAAGGGAGGAAAAAUAAACGUGUAUGCUAAUAUGCUCCCAAGAUAUCUGCACAGCCUCGUCCACCUAUUAACUGAUAACUUCUCUCUAAUGUAUAAAAAGAGGGAUAUAUGUAAACCAUGCUUGGUGUUUUAGUAUUCUCUUUAUUUCUACGAAUUUUAAUUUUUAGAGGAUUGUCCGAGUAACCCCAAAUUUCUCAAUAUUAGUCAAAGGUCUCAAAGUUAACUAAAGAUUUUAGAAAUUAUGUUUACUUAUUUAUGCAAUGCAAAAAACCCACGAUUCCUGCUGAUAUUAUGAUUUUACCAGAGAAAUAUUUCAAUUUUUUGCUACCAAUUCAUAAGAAUUAAUACUUUUUAAUAAAGACAUGGCCUAUUCUAAUCUAAUUUGGAUGUUAUGAAUUUUAUUUUUAGUAAUUCUAAAUAUUUUGUGGAAAUGAUGCUUUACUUGGCCCAUAAAAUUAUUUUAGGAAUUUAGUUGGCUUAAAACAGGGUUUUCAUGGGAAAAUAAAACCAAGUUUUGUGUCGGGUAUAUUACUAUGUUAACAUUUUCAUGCUGUGAUAAAACUGGGAAAAGUUUAUUGUGCCAAGUUUUCACCUUGAUUAGGAAUAUUGUCUGAACUUCAUUUUAUAUUUGCAUGCACAUUUAAGA
RNAcentral lists this long non-coding RNA (1185 nucleotides) under Equus caballus (horse). RNAcentral's name for it is "lncRNA (ENSECAG00000056148.1)". The record is from RNAcentral. Lineage: Eukaryota; Metazoa; Chordata; Mammalia; Perissodactyla; Equidae.